Molecule: non-coding RNA, 115 nt
Filed under: Actinacidiphila cocklensis
Lineage: Bacteria; Bacillati; Actinomycetota; Actinomycetes; Kitasatosporales; Streptomycetaceae
Description: Streptomyces cocklensis SAM-IV
Rfam family: SAM (S-adenosyl methionine) riboswitch aptamer
About the family: SAM-IV is a mRNA element that regulates gene expression via direct sensing of S-adenosylmethionine (SAM or AdoMet).
Source: RNAcentral
GGUCAUGAGCGUCAGCAACCAAGGCCCUGGCCUGCUGACCGGCAACCCUCCGUCGCGGCGGGGUGCUCCAGGUGACGACCCGGCGGGGCCGACGACGGCUCGGCAAGUGCGAACC